CUUGGGUUGUAAACCUCUUUUUCUCAGGGAAUCAAAACAUGAAGGUACCUGAGGAAUAAGCAUCGGCUAACUCCGUGCCAGCAGCCGCGGUAAUACGGAGGAUGCAAAGCGUUAUCCGGAAUGAUUGGGCGUAAAAGCGUCCGCAGGUGGUACAACAAGUCUAGUGUCAAAGACCGGGGCUCAACCCCGGGAAGGCGGUGGAAACUGUUGAACUAGAGGGUCGUAGGGGUAGAGGGAAUUCCCAGUGUAGCGGUGAAAUGCGUAAAGAUUGGGAAGAACAUCGGUGGCGAAGGCGCUCUACUGGACG
This 307-nucleotide ribosomal RNA is filed under the name uncultured cyanobacterium. RNAcentral describes it as "bacterial SSU rRNA". It matches the Rfam family "Bacterial small subunit ribosomal RNA", at positions 417 to 735 of the family's 1533-position model. The record is from RNAcentral. Lineage: Bacteria; Bacillati; Cyanobacteriota.